UUUACUAAAGCCUCGAUCUGAACACAAUCAAAUUAAACUUUCAGCACAAAAUAAAAUAUAAAUUUCAUUUAAUAGACUGAAUACGUUUAUAUUGACGAACUAUAUCAAAUUCGAUUGUCGAUUAUAAUUAUACCCGUAAUCAUAAUUGUCAAUCCACAUUAGCCAUGACAGUGCCAUGUCAAAAGCUAACGUUUUCAAGAGUAAUUGCAAUGUGUAAUAAGCCAAGCACAAUUUAUAAGUUGCGUUCUAUCCUCUAUGUAUAACUGCCGAACUAAAAGUAUUAAUUUAUCUUCUUUGUAGCUUUAAGUCUGUUCAAUAAAUUGUCUUUUUAACAA
Molecule: long non-coding RNA, 335 nt
Organism: Drosophila montana
Lineage: Eukaryota; Metazoa; Arthropoda; Insecta; Diptera; Drosophilidae
Exons: 2
Source: RefSeq, a predicted model, not a curated record